This 966-nucleotide ribosomal RNA is filed under the name Bacillus thuringiensis. Its description in RNAcentral is "bacterial SSU rRNA". It matches the Rfam family "Bacterial small subunit ribosomal RNA", at positions 533 to 1533 of the family's 1533-position model. The record is from RNAcentral. Lineage: Bacteria; Bacillati; Bacillota; Bacilli; Caryophanales; Bacillaceae.
GCCGUGCGUUACCGGGAUAUUGGGCGUAAGCGCGCGCAGGUGGUUUCUUAAGUCUGAUGUGAAAGCCCGCGGCUCAACCGUGGAGGGUCAUUGGAAACUGGGAGACUUGAGUGCAGAAGAGGAGAGUGGAAUUCCAUGUGUAGCGGUGAAAUGCGUAGAGAUAUGGAGGAACACCAGUGGCGAAGGCGACUUUCUGGUCUGUAACUGACACUGAGGCGCGAAAGCGUGGGGAGCAAACAGGAUUAGAUACCCUGGUAGUCCACGCCGUAACGAUGAGUGCUAAGUGGUAGAGGGUUUCCGCCCUUUAGUGCUGAAGUAACGCAUUAAGCACUCCGCCUGGGGAGUACGGCCGCAAGGCUGAAACUCAAAGGAAUUGACGGGGGCCCGCACAAGCGGGGGAGCAUGUGGUUUAAUUCGAAGCAACGCGAAGAACCUUACCACGUCUUGACAUCCUCUGACUACCCUAAAGAUAGGGCUUCUCCUUCGGGAGCAGAGUGACAGGUGGUGCAUGGUUGUCGUCAGCUCGUGUCGUGAGAUGUUGGGUUAAGUCCCCGCACGAGCGCAACCCUUGAUCUUGAUUGCCAUCACUUAGUGUGGCACUCUCAGGUGACUGCCGGUGACAACCGGAGGAAGGGGGGAUGACGUCAAUCAUCAUGCCCCUAUGACCUGGGCUACCCCGUGCUACAUGGACGGUACAAGAGCUGCCGACCGCGAGAGGAGCUAUCUCAAAACCGUUCCAGUCGGAUGUAGCUGCACUCCCUCCUGAACUGGAUCGUAGUAUCCGGACACAUGCCGGGGAUACGUCCCGGCCUGUCCCCCGCCGUCCCCACGGAGUGGGACCCCGAAGCGGUGGGUACCUUUGGAGCACCGCUAUGUGGACGAGAUGGGUGAUUAGAGAGAAGGUAAAAAACCCAAGGGGGGGGGCCCCGGCCCCGGGGAAGGGAGCGGGGGGGGGGGGGCGGCGCC